AUACCGCAUACGAUCUAUGGAUGAAAGCGGGGGAUCGCAAGACCUCGCGCGAUUGGAGCGGCCGAUAUCAGAUUAGGUAGUUGGUGAGGUAAAGGCUCACCAAGCCGACGAUCUGUAGCUGGUCUGAGAGGACGACCAGCCACACUGGGACUGAGACACGGCCCAGACUCCUACGGGAGGCAGCAGUGGGGAAUUUUGGACAAUGGGCGCAAGCCUGAUCCAGCCAUUCCGCGUGCAGGAUGAAGGCCCUCGGGUUGUAAACUGCUUUUGUACGGAACGAAAAGGUUUCUAUUAAUACUAGGAGCUCAUGACGGUACCGUAAGAAUAAGCACCGGCUAACUACGUG
Molecule: ribosomal RNA, 346 nt
Filed under: uncultured bacterium
Lineage: Bacteria
Description: bacterial SSU rRNA
Rfam family: Bacterial small subunit ribosomal RNA
Source: RNAcentral